CAAUAUAAACACAUCUUUAAAAUCAGUUGUCAGUAAAGCAAUAUUUACUGCAAUUGAAGUUUUCAAUGAGCCGGUUUUUACACGUCCGUUUUGGAAAAAGUUUCUUAUUUGUUGGAAUUGCCUCUCGAAGGAUUGAAGAACGCGAAAAUGUGAUUUUAAACUAGAAAAAUAGCGAUUGUAAAGGAAAUGUUGACGAUUUUUGUGACGUAAAUUGUUGGCGGGACAUUAAGGAUGGGAAGCUUUCAAAUUGAGACCCGGUAUAUUGGAAAACAAGAGCAUUCUACAGGGUGACCAAGAAGCCAAAAUGCAAAAGAUCUCGUGAGAAUAAUGACCGGAGUAUGGGGGUCUCAAGGGGUUUUUAAGAAACGGCCCACAAGGUAACAACAAAACCGUGUAAAAUUGUAGAAACCGGGUAAAAAAUUUCGCCUUUUAUGCGAAAAUUUACAAUAGUAUCCAGGUGCAGUACCAUUCGGAAAAAAUCAAAUUCAAAAUUAUCUUAUAUGUACGGAGGCGAAUGCUCAAAUGUUAUAGAAACCUCCAAUACAUUUCUAAGUUUCUGUGACAAAUACAUCAACAUUUACCAGAUAAA
Molecule: long non-coding RNA, 589 nt
Organism: Dendroctonus ponderosae (mountain pine beetle)
Lineage: Eukaryota; Metazoa; Arthropoda; Insecta; Coleoptera; Curculionidae
Exons: 2
Source: RefSeq, a predicted model, not a curated record